UGUUUCCUUUCUGUUCAGUACCCAACCUCCAGAUCGUGACGGAGGCAAGGUUUGAAUUGUUGAAAUGGGUUUCUACCCAUUUAAGUGGCUUUGUCCCUUGAAUUUAAGUUUCUUCUCUUCCUCUUCAGCACCCUUCCCACUGCCUCAUCUCCAAUCCUCAGUUGCAGGGCUUCAACUAUGGAGGCUCACUAAGACCCAGAUUCUCUUUCACCACUAAAGACACAGACAAAGGCAUUCGCAUUCAACCCAUUAAAGCCAAAGCAGCAACCACCGAGGCCUCUCCGUUUCCUCUGCUUCAGUCUCCCCGAGCUAAAGACUCUCCCUCUGAGUUGGAGCCAGCAGAUCCUGAUUUCUACAAGAUAGGGUUUGUUAGAAGUAUGAGAGCUUAUGGAAUUGAAUUUAAAGAAGGCCCAGAUGGGUUUGGAGUUUAUGCUUCCAAGGAUGUUGAACCACUUCGCCGUGCUAGGGUGAUAAUGGAAAUACCACUAGAACUGAUGUUAACUAUAAGCCAAAAGCUCCCAUGGAUGUUUUUCCCAGAUAUAGUACCGGUGGGUCACCCAAUAUUUGAUAUCAUCAAUUCAACAAGAAGAGAAGCUACGCUCAGCUUCAUUU
Molecule: long non-coding RNA, 612 nt
Organism: Rosa chinensis
Lineage: Eukaryota; Viridiplantae; Streptophyta; Magnoliopsida; Rosales; Rosaceae
Exons: 4
Source: RefSeq, a predicted model, not a curated record